AGAACGAACGCUGGCGGCAUGCCUAACACAUGCAAGUCGAACGCUUCCGGGGCUUCGGUCGCGGAGGAGUGGCGCACGGGUGAGUAGCGCGUGGGAACCUGCCCUGUUGUGGGGGAUAACCGAGGGAAACUUCGGCUAAUACCGCAUACGCCCCGGGACUUGGUCUUCGGAUUAGGUCUGGGGGGAAAGAUUGAUCGCAGCAGGAGGGGCCCGCGUCGGAUUAGCUGGUUGGUGGGGUAACGGCUCACCAAGGCGAUGAUCCGUAGCUGGUCUGAGAGGAUGAUCAGCCACACUGGGACUGAGACACGGCCCAGACUCCUACGGGAGGCAGCAGUGGGGGAAUAUUGGACAAUGGGGGCAACCCUGAUCCAGCAAUGCCGCGUGAGUGAUGAAGGCCUUAGGGUUGUAAAGCUCUUUCGCCGCGACGAUGAUGACGGUAGCGGGAGAAGAAGCCCGGCUAACUUCGUGCCAGCAGCCGC
Molecule: ribosomal RNA, 479 nt
Filed under: uncultured bacterium
Lineage: Bacteria
Description: SSU rRNA
Rfam family: Bacterial small subunit ribosomal RNA
Source: RNAcentral